GGGAAAGUGGCUUAGUGGUAGAGUGCUUGCAUAAAGCCCUGGGUUCGAUUCCUAACUUUCACA
RNAcentral lists this transfer RNA (63 nucleotides) under Dipodomys ordii (Ord's kangaroo rat). It matches the Rfam family "tRNA". Rfam says of the family: Transfer RNA (tRNA) molecules are approximately 80 nucleotides in length. The record is from Rfam by way of RNAcentral. Lineage: Eukaryota; Metazoa; Chordata; Mammalia; Rodentia; Heteromyidae.